AGCGAACGCUGGCGGCAGGCUUAACACAUGCAAGUCGAGCGCCGUAGCAAUACGGAGCGGCAGACGGGAGAGUAACACGUGGGAACGUGCCCUUCAGUUCGGAACAACCCAGGGAAACUUGGGCUAAUACCGGAUACGUCCGAAAGGAGAAAGAUUUAUCGCUGAAGGAUCGGCCCGCGUCUGAUUAGCUAGUUGGUGGGGUCAUGGCCCACCAAGGCGACGAUCAGUAGCUGGUCUGAGAGGAUGAUCAGCCUCACUGGGACGGAGACACGGCCCAGACUCCUACGGGAGGCAGCAGUGGGGAAUAUUGGAGAAUGGGGGCAACCCUGAUCCAGCCAUGCCGCGUGGGUGAUGAAGGCCCUAGGGUUGUAAAGCCCUUUCGGCGGGGAAGAUAAUGACGGUACCCGCAGAAGAAGCCCCGGCUAACUUCGUGCCAGCAGCCGCCGUAA
Molecule: ribosomal RNA, 449 nt
Filed under: uncultured bacterium
Lineage: Bacteria
Description: partial 16S ribosomal RNA
Rfam family: Bacterial small subunit ribosomal RNA
Source: RNAcentral